Regulatory RNA element from Yersinia pestis CO92, 93 nucleotides. It matches the Rfam family "SodC 5' UTR thermometer". Rfam says of the family: Involved in protection against oxidative stress. The record is from Rfam. NCBI's taxonomy places the organism in Bacteria, Pseudomonadati, Pseudomonadota, Gammaproteobacteria, Enterobacterales, Yersiniaceae.
GUCAAAAGUUUCCUAUUGACAAGGUUAAACCAGACUUAAUCAACAUAUAAGGGAUAUAACAAUAUGAAAUUAAGUACAUUAUUGCUACCUGUU